Molecule: ribosomal RNA, 465 nt
Filed under: Vreelandella stevensii
Lineage: Bacteria; Pseudomonadati; Pseudomonadota; Gammaproteobacteria; Oceanospirillales; Halomonadaceae
Description: partial 16S ribosomal RNA
Rfam family: Bacterial small subunit ribosomal RNA
Source: RNAcentral
CCUACGGGCGGCAGCAGUGGGGAAUAUUGGACAAUGGGGGGAACCCUGAUCCAGCCAUGCCGCGUGUGUGAAGAAGGCCCUCGGGGUGUAAAGCACUUUCAGUGAGGAAGAACGCCUGGUGGUUAAUACCCAUCAGGAAAGACAUCACUCACAGAAGAAGCACCGGCUAACUCCGUGCCAGCAGCCGCGGUAAUACGGAGGGUGCGAGCGUUAAUCGGAAUUACUGGGCGUAAAGCGCGCGUAGGUGGCUUGAUAAGCCGGUUGUGAAAGCCCCGGGCUCAACCUGGGAACGGCAUCCGGAACUGUCGAGCUAGAGUGCAGGAGAGGAAGGUAGAAUUCCCGGUGUAGCGGUGAAAUGCGUAGAGAUCGGGAGGAAUACCAGUGGCGAAGGCGGCCUUCUGGACUGACACUGACACUGAGGUGCGAAAGCGUGGGUAGCAAACAGGAUUAGAUACCCCAGUAGUC